RNAcentral lists this ribosomal RNA (425 nucleotides) under uncultured bacterium. Its description in RNAcentral is "partial 16S ribosomal RNA". It matches the Rfam family "Bacterial small subunit ribosomal RNA", at positions 354 to 796 of the family's 1533-position model. The record is from RNAcentral.
GUGGGGAAUAUUGGGCAAUGGGCGAAAGCCUGACCCAGCAACGCCGCGUGAAGGAAGAAGGUCUUCGGAUCGUAAACUUCUAUCCUUGGUGAAGAUAAUGACGGUAGCCGAGAAGGAAGCCCCGGCUAACUACGUGCCAGCAGCCGCGGUAAUACGUAGGGGGCAAGCGUUGUCCGGAAUGAUUGGGCGUAAAGGGCGCGUAGGCGGCCUGGUAAGUCUGGAGUGAAAGUCCUGCUUUUAAGGUGGGAAUUGCUUUGGAUACUGUCGGGCUUGAGUGCAGGAGAUGUAAGUGGAAUUCCCGGUGUAGCGGUGAAAUGCGUAGAGAUCGGGAGGAACACCAGUGGCGAAGGCGACUUACUGGACUGUAACUGACGCUGAGGCGCGAAAGUGUGGGGAGCAAACAGGAUUAGAUACCCUAGUAGUCC